This is a long non-coding RNA of Sander lucioperca (pikeperch), 123 nucleotides long. RefSeq lists it as uncharacterized. The record is from RefSeq and is a predicted model, not a curated record. Lineage: Eukaryota; Metazoa; Chordata; Actinopteri; Perciformes; Percidae. The transcript has 3 exons.
CAGCCUUUAUAUACCACCGCGAGCCCUCCACCACGACCAGAGGUCCUGGGAGUACUGAUAAAACAACAGUCAGGUGGACAAAGUUCAAUUAGAGGGCCGUAUUCCAAAUUGUAAGUACAGUAA